GAGAGAGAGAGAGAGAGAGAGCACCAAAAUUUGGGUUAGAACACCAACUAAUAGUAUUGAUAUUCACCAGUUAAUAGUUGAGUUUGUACUUAUUUUUAUUGACACAGAAAAUACUGUCCAGUUGCUAAAACUAAAUCACAAAGGCAUACAGUGAAAUCAAUGCAGGAUAUAAGUGAAACCAACUAAUUGGGAAUUAACAAUUGACAUCUCUCAUGCCCAAACAGCUACAGAUAGGCAGCCUAUAAGGUGCACUUAAUGGUUACCUUCAUGCACAUCUUGCAGAUGGAAUAUGGCAUGAGACCACCUAAGGUGUGUGCCAUAAGCAGUGAUGGAUGCAAAAAUUCAAUUUAGGAGGUCCAAUUAAAACAUGAACCUUUUCCCUCAUAUCAAGUGGAUAACUCGUUAUGUUAGGUCACAAUCUUGAAUUAGAAGGUUUUCCAUAGCAACCUUAAGUUACUCAACAAUCAAUUGCUUAGAUGUUGAUUGAAUAAGUUGAUUGACCAAUGAUUAUAAUACUGCAAUGGUUGAUAUUUUUUUAUAGAAUCAUUCCAUAACUAUAAAAAUAAAAUUAAACAUUUAAUGAAUAUAGAGACAAAAAUAAACAUCUUAAUUUUUUAAACAAAAUUGGCUUACUAAAAUUUAAAUGGAUUUGUUGUUAAUUCAAAACUACAUUGAAUGUUUAAAAUAUGAAUUAUUGAAUCUCAAAACUAAUUAUUUCAAAACAAUCAUGAAAAGCAAAAUUCAAAUAAAAUUAUAAUUUAAAUGAGAAAGUUCUAACUUCUAAUAUUAUGAAAGAGAAAAAUUUUUUUUCUAAUCUAAGUUUGA
Molecule: unclassified non-coding RNA, 825 nt
Filed under: Hevea brasiliensis (rubber tree)
Lineage: Eukaryota; Viridiplantae; Streptophyta; Magnoliopsida; Malpighiales; Euphorbiaceae
Source: RNAcentral